Molecule: ribosomal RNA, 468 nt
Filed under: uncultured bacterium
Lineage: Bacteria
Description: partial 16S ribosomal RNA
Rfam family: Bacterial small subunit ribosomal RNA
Source: RNAcentral
GACGAACGCUGGCGGCGUGCUUAACACAUGCAAGUCGAACGGAAAGGCCCUUGUUUUGUGGGGUUCUCGAGUGGCGAACGGGUGAGUAACACGUGAGUAACCUUCCCUUGGCUUUGGGAUAACUUCAGGAAACUGGGGCUAUUACCGGUUAGGAGCUCCUGCUGCAUGGUGGGGGUUGGAAAGUUUAGGCGGUUGGGGAUGGACUGGCGGCUUAUGAGCUUGUUGGUGGGGUAGUGGCUUAACAAGGCUUUGACGGGUAGCCGGCAUGAGAGGGUGACCAGGCACAUUAGGACUGAGAGACGGCGCAGUGUCCUACGGGAGGCAGCAGUGGGGAAUAUUGCACAGUAGGCCGGAGUGUGAGGCAACGACGCCGGGUGCGGGAUGCCGGCCUGCGGGUUGUAAACCGCUUUGGCCUGAGACGAAGCGUGAGUGACGGUACUGGGUAAAGAAGCACCGGCUAACUACGUG